UGUCUAUGUUUCUCAAAGAACGUAAAGUAUCGUUAUUUAAGAUGUAGACAUGAGUGUCGUAUUAUAAAAUUAUGAGAUUGAUAAAUACAAUAUAAAUUGUUUUGGAUAUAACAGUNAUAUAUAUAUAUAUAUAUAUAUAUAUAUGAAAGAACAACUACCGCUACUGUAACGAAGAACUGAAAGCAUACAAGGAUAUCAAAACUAUAGUAGCAAGACAACUAUAAAGAAGACUGUAAGUAUACAU
This 244-nucleotide long non-coding RNA is filed under the name Ananas comosus (pineapple). RNAcentral's name for it is "long non-coding RNA (ACOM_LNC001004)". Lineage: Eukaryota; Viridiplantae; Streptophyta; Magnoliopsida; Poales; Bromeliaceae. The record is from RNAcentral.